AUAAUGAUACUUCUGUCAAGUCACAGUCGGAGCGUUAAAAGCGUCGCAGGCAAUGAUGACAGUCCGGGCGGAGCCGGGAAGGUGAAAUUCUUAUGG
Molecule: non-coding RNA, 96 nt
Submitted as: unclassified sequences
Source: Rfam